This is a long non-coding RNA of Amaranthus tricolor (Joseph's coat), 639 nucleotides long. RefSeq lists it as uncharacterized. The record is from RefSeq and is a predicted model, not a curated record. The transcript has 3 exons. Lineage: Eukaryota; Viridiplantae; Streptophyta; Magnoliopsida; Caryophyllales; Amaranthaceae.
CGUAAACCCAUUUUCGUAUUUCAGAGUUUACUUUCUGAAAGGCAGAGAAAAAGGAAAGACAUCAACAAUGGUGGAUUUUUGUGUUCGUAUAUAAUGUGAUCAUCAUGCACAUGGCAGCCAUUACCAUUAGGUUGGCACCAACAUCCCCGUUUCAGUUCCUAUGCCCUUCAUCUCAUCUGGUGACCUUGAGACUCCUUUUGCAGAGAAACGGGAGCUCACUUUUAUACUAAAGUCAAAACAGUAACACAAUGCUGGAACGAAGUUCCGAUGGAUGAUGAAGUAGGUAAUCCAAUUUUGGCUUUAUAGCAAAAUUUUUGUCCAAUUGCUAGAAUAAGACGAUGACUCAAUGAUCUCAUAUUCAUAGGAAUGUUUACCUGUCUGAAACGUUGCACCCUUAAGUAGUUUUGCCUUUUAUUAGGAGUUUCCAUAUUGCCAAUAGUCAAGGAAGAGUUAGUGGUAAUCGACUCAAAAUGACCCGAUUUGAAACCUGCUGCUCUACCAUUUGUCUGGUCUAAUCUAACUGUGAAGAACGAGGAGUUUCUUAAUGGACUGUCGAGGAAAGCUACUUAUAUUAUCUUUUCAAUAGUUAGUGGUAUUUAAUCUGCGCACAUUUUAUUGUCUAUGUCAACAAGAAAUGAA